GCUUUGCAGCUGUCAUACUGUGGGAUUUCCAUUUCCCUGAAUUCUGUAAAACCAAACCUCUCGUCUCCUAUAUAAACCCCUUCUCACUACAAUUCCAUUACAACAACAUUAACAAAUAUUAUUCCUCUUCUUUCCUCAUGAUCACCAUGACUCUUUCCAAACUCUUUCUUGCUUUCUUCCUUGUUGCUUUCUUAGUUUCCUCCAACUCUGCUAGAAACCUUCCCACCAAUCCCAAUGUUGACGACCAAAAGAACUUGUUCCACCGUCCUGGACUUGCCGGCGGCGGCCUUGGAGGCGGUGGUGGCCUUGGAGGCGGCGCUGGACUAGGCGGUGGUGCUGGAGCUGGACUUGGCGGUGGUGCUGGAGCUGGACUUGGUGGUGGUGCUGGAGGUGGAGGAGGACUUGGUGGAGGUGGAGGACUAGGUGGCGGGACUGGUGGUGGAUUUGGAGCUGGUGCUGGUGCGGGUGGUGGAGCAGGAGGUGGGCUUGGUGGUGGCGCAGGAGGAGGUGGGGGGGUUGGAGGCGGGGGGGGGGGGGGGGGGGGGGGGGGGGGGGGGGGGGGGGGGGGGGGGGGAGGGGGGCUGGGUUCGGUGGAGGGGCUGGUGCUGGUGGUGGCUUACCUUGAUUGGAAAGGCUCUCAUCAUUUCAUAAUUGUUCCAUGGCAAAAAAGUUGUGACCAUAAUUAAUAUUUUCUGAGAGUGAAAUUAAUUAAGCUAUCAAUGUACGUAUCUAGUAAAUUUAUGGGUAUGUUAUCCGGCCAGUGACAUUAAUGCAAUGCAAUGCCUUCUUCCUAAGAAAAACUGUUGGUAAUUUGCUGCAAGGUAUGUGGGUAUGGUGUUGAAAAUUGCAUGAUUGAUUGAAUAUACAAAUGGCUAAUGAUCCGUCUUUACUCUUUUAUCUCCAAGUAGAAAGUACGAGGAGGUGGAUGCAGACUAGAUACAGUUGGUAAUGGGGGCACGCAAACAUGAAAUAGCCGUGUUACGUCCAUUUAAUUAAUUAUAUCGAAUGAUUCUGAAUGAUAAGUAGUUGGUUGAAAGAUUAAUUAACUACAAUUUAAUAAUAAUUAAAGAUAGUUCAGCUGUCUGUUUCUGUAAUUAAAGAGGGG
RNAcentral lists this long non-coding RNA (1105 nucleotides) under Linum usitatissimum (flax). Its description in RNAcentral is "long non-coding RNA (LUSI_LNC005673)". Lineage: Eukaryota; Viridiplantae; Streptophyta; Magnoliopsida; Malpighiales; Linaceae. The record is from RNAcentral.